GUACAUGCUUACAACAUAGUGUUAAUGCAUUGAAUCCCAUUAUAACUCUGCAGUUAAGUACACUUGGGAUAGAGUAGUACUGGGCGGGGUGAUCACCCGAGAAGUCCUAGUAUUUUAUGUGCC
Picea glauca (white spruce) is the source of this 123-nucleotide non-coding RNA. The record is from Rfam. Lineage: Eukaryota; Viridiplantae; Streptophyta; Pinopsida; Pinales; Pinaceae.